This 756-nucleotide ribosomal RNA is filed under the name uncultured cyanobacterium. Its description in RNAcentral is "bacterial SSU rRNA". It matches the Rfam family "Bacterial small subunit ribosomal RNA", at positions 780 to 1533 of the family's 1533-position model. Lineage: Bacteria; Bacillati; Cyanobacteriota. The record is from RNAcentral.
AGAUACCCCAGUAGUCCUAGCCGUAAACGAUGGAUACUAGGUGUUGCCUGUAUCGACCCAGGCAGUGCCGUAGCCAACGCGUUAAGUAUCCCGCCUGGGGAGUACGCACGCAAGUGUGAAACUCAAAGGAAUUGACGGGGGCCCGCACAAGCGGUGGAGUAUGUGGUUUAAUUCGAUGCAGCGCGAAGAACCUUACCAGGGCUUGACAUGUCGCGAAUCCGGGUGAAAGUCUGGAGUGCCUUCGGGAACGCGAACACAGGUGGUGCAUGGCUGUCGUCAGCUCGUGUCGUGAGAUGGUGGGUUAAGUCCCGCAACGAGCGCAACCCUCGUCUUUAGUUGCCAUCAUUAAGUUGGGAACUCUAAAGGGACUGCCGGUGACAAACCGGAGGAAGGUGGGGAUGACGUCAAGUCAGCAUGCCCCUUACGCCCUGGGCUACACACGUACUACAAUGGUUGGGACAGAAGGCAGCGAAGCCGCAAGGUGAAGCCAAUCCCCAAAACCCAGCCUCAGUUCAGAUUGCAGGCUGCAACUCGCCUGCAUGAAGGAGGAAUCGCUAGUAAUCGCAGGUCAGCAUACUGCGGUGAAUCCGUUCCCGGGCCUUGUACACACCGCCCGUCACACCAUGGAAGUUGGCCACGCCCGAAGUCAUUACUCCAACCCUUAAUGGGAGGGGGAUGCCGAAGGUAGGGCUGAUGACUGGGGUGAAGUCGUAACAAGGUAGCCGUACCGGAAGGUGUGGCUGGAUCACCUCCUUU